UACGUAGGGUGCGAGCGUUGUCCGGAAUUAUUGGGCGUAAAGCGUGCGCAGGCGGUUCGUUGUGUCUGAUGUGAAAGCCCCGGGCUCAACCUGGGAAUGGCAUUGGAAACUGGCGAGCUAGAGUGUGGCAGAGGGGGGUGGAAUUCCCGGUGUAGCGGUGAAAUGCGCAGAUAUCGGGAAGAACACCCGUGGCGAAGGCGGCUCUCUGGGACGGUACUGACGCUGAGACGCGAAAGCGUGGGGAGCGAACAGG
Molecule: ribosomal RNA, 253 nt
Filed under: uncultured bacterium
Lineage: Bacteria
Description: partial 16S ribosomal RNA
Rfam family: Bacterial small subunit ribosomal RNA
Source: RNAcentral